This 283-nucleotide long non-coding RNA is filed under the name Lathyrus oleraceus (garden pea). RNAcentral describes it as "Pisum sativum (pea) long non-coding RNA (PSAT_LNC023436)". The record is from RNAcentral. Lineage: Eukaryota; Viridiplantae; Streptophyta; Magnoliopsida; Fabales; Fabaceae.
AAGAUGAUGUCUCCACCAUAACGAUUUACUUUGACCCGGUUGAUUUGUCAACUCUGGCGGAGGCGGCUCCAGUUACUAUCACGGUACCUGGGCCAAUUCCUUAUGACAAAGAGGAUGUCGUGCCGUGGCAUUAUGGUGGGGAAGUUUAUUGUAACGGAGAGAAGGUAGAGGAUCAAGCUGCAGGUGAAACCACCGUCUCAAAGGUGGAUAAUGCCGGACCUAGUGGUUUCACUCGCAGUGGAAGACUGUUUGCUCCUGAUACGUUGAGGGGAGGAGAAGGAGA